AAGUCGUAACAAGGUUUCCGUAGGUGAACCUGCGGAAGGAUCAUUAUCGAGUUUUGAACGGGUUGUCUGCUGGCUCGCGAGAGCAUGUGCACGCCUGUCUCAUCCACUCUCAACUUCUGUGCACUUUUCAUAGGCCGGCUUGUGGGUGCGUUCGCGCACUUGUAGGUGUCGGGCUUAUGCUUUAUUACAAACGAUUCAGUUUUUAGAAUGUCAUACUUUGCUAUAACGCAAUUUAUAUACAA
RNAcentral lists this unclassified non-coding RNA (242 nucleotides) under plant metagenome. RNAcentral describes it as "partial contains small subunit ribosomal RNA and internal transcribed spacer 1". The stretch from base 1 to 46 matches the Rfam family "Eukaryotic small subunit ribosomal RNA", at positions 1786 to 1831 of the family's 1831-position model. The record is from RNAcentral.